RNAcentral lists this ribosomal RNA (253 nucleotides) under uncultured bacterium. Its description in RNAcentral is "partial 16S ribosomal RNA". It matches the Rfam family "Bacterial small subunit ribosomal RNA", at positions 524 to 776 of the family's 1533-position model. The record is from RNAcentral.
GACGAACCGUGCGAACGUUAUUCGGAAUCACUGGGCUUAAAGCGCGCGUAGGCGGUCCGAUCAGUCCGCUGUAAAAGUCCAGGGCUCAACCCUGGAAAGCCGGUGGAUACUGUCGGGCUAGAGUCCGGAAGGGGCGAGUGGAAUUCCUGGUGUAGCGGUGAAAUGCGCAGAUAUCGGGAAGAACACCCGUGGCGAAGGCGGCUCUCUGGGACGGUACUGACGCUGAGACGCGAAAGCGUGGGGAGCGAACAGG